Non-coding RNA from Camellia sinensis, 760 nucleotides. NCBI's taxonomy places the organism in Eukaryota, Viridiplantae, Streptophyta, Magnoliopsida, Ericales, Theaceae. The record is from RefSeq and is a predicted model, not a curated record.
UGAACUGUGUCACAAAGUAAUAAAUCAUAGCUAGGGUUUUGAUUCUCUCAAACUCAUACCCAGCACACAUUCUGGAAGAUGUUCUUGUCCAUGUGAGUCAUGCUUGCUGCCCAUACCACCUGAGUAUCAGAAUUCUACAUCGAGGCUGAGAGAGAGAAGCGGACAAUAUAGCUGAAUUGUCUUCAUUGCAGAUACUAAGGAAGCAAUUGAUGAGGUCUUGUUGAGGGGAAGCAGCAUUUCUUUCCAAUGCUAAUUUCUUCUCAUUUAUAAGAUUGACCUUUUUCUCGGAGCCUAUGGUUGAAGCCUCUUAGGAUUGUACUUAAGUCUUUCCUGCAGCAAUGUUUUGCCCUUGUUCGAAGGCUUUUGGAAGAUUUUUCGGUGACCAAAUUGAAGGAGUCAAGCCUACAGCUCACCUCAUGUGGUUUUUUCGCUUUUGGAUCUAGCCAUGCUUGCGAGGGGAUCCUGAAUCUUGCCCUCGGAUUGUGAGGAUCUUUUGUUGAUUUGUGUCCUAGCUUUGUGUUGUCGAUCUUAUUCUAUUAGCUGAGGUCUAUUUCUAAUUGCUUGUUCUUUGUUUGCCUCUUAUAGUUAGAAGCUGCUCACUUCAUGUGGUUUUUUCCCUUUUGGACUUGUAUUGAGUUCAAUAUUUUUUUUGGUAUUAAAAUUCUUUGUGCUCAUUGUCCAUUCUAUUCUUUGUAUUGAAUUGUGUUCUAUUUUCUUUUUUGGGUAAAUUACAAAUACACCCCAUGAGGAUUCCUUAAAA